RNAcentral lists this long non-coding RNA (226 nucleotides) under Lotus japonicus. Its description in RNAcentral is "long non-coding RNA (LJAP_LNC001777)". The record is from RNAcentral. Lineage: Eukaryota; Viridiplantae; Streptophyta; Magnoliopsida; Fabales; Fabaceae.
GUUCAAAGUAAGAUGCUAGUAUACAUAUUUUCACAAAAGAUACAUGAGAUGAGUUCCUCAAAAUAGUUCAUGUAGAGAAUCAAGCUUUAAAAACUGAGUAACCUUUAGUAAGUACAAACAAGAAUUAUAGAAAAUACCAAGAUGUGGGGUUUCACAUUUUAUUCCUAAUUCCCCAACCCCAUAUUGAGAAUCCACUAAUGAUGGCCAACAGUCUUAUUUUAUUAUG